RNAcentral lists this ribosomal RNA (497 nucleotides) under uncultured bacterium. RNAcentral's name for it is "partial 16S ribosomal RNA". It matches the Rfam family "Bacterial small subunit ribosomal RNA", at positions 28 to 507 of the family's 1533-position model. The record is from RNAcentral.
GAUGAACGCUGGCGGCGUGCCUAAUACAUGCAAGUCGAGCGAACGGACGAGAAGCUUGCUUCUCUGAUGUUAGCGGCGGACGGGUGAGUAACACGUGGAUAACCUACCUAUAAGACUGGGAUAACUUCGGGAAACCGUAGCUAAUACCGGAUAAUAUUUUGAACCGCAUGGUUCAAAAGUGAAAGACGGUCUUGCUGUCACUUAUAGAUGGAUCCGCGCUGCAUUAGCUAGUUGGUAAGGUAACGGCUUACCAAGGCAACGAUGCAUAGCCGACCUGAGAGGGUGAUCGGCCACACUGGAACGGAGACACGGUCCAGACUCCUACGGGAGGCAGCGGUAGGGAAUCUUCCGCAAUGGGCGAAAGCCUGACGGAGCAACGCCGCGUGAUUGAUGAAGGUCUUCGGAUCUUAAAACUCUGUUAUUAGGGAAGAACAUAUGUGUAAGUAACUGUGCACAUCUUGACGGUACCUAAUCAGAAAGCCACGGCUAACUACGUG